GACCGCGUAGCUCAGUUGGCAGAGCAUUGGGUUAGCAUUCCAAAGGUCGUAGGUUCGAUUCCCACCGUGCCCA
This 73-nucleotide transfer RNA is filed under the name Paramuricea clavata. It matches the Rfam family "tRNA". Rfam says of the family: Transfer RNA (tRNA) molecules are approximately 80 nucleotides in length. The record is from Rfam by way of RNAcentral. Lineage: Eukaryota; Metazoa; Cnidaria; Anthozoa; Malacalcyonacea; Plexauridae.